CGCACGCCACCGCACCCCAUCUCUCGAAAUCUGCAGACAUCUUGAUUUUUCCCACGCUGUCUGUCAGGUCUCCGCCGCCACUCGACGCCAGGGCGCCGGGUGAGUCCACAGCAGGGCGCAUGGUCGGCUCCACUCUCACCAUCGGGGGAAACUGAGGCCCCGGGGAAGGCGGCCAGAGAGGUCAGGCCCUGUCCUUGGUGCAGUGUCUCGUCCUCUUUGCCGGAGUGAGCCCCCCAGGAUUCGCGUGUCCUCGGGAAAGACACUGGCAGGCCUUGUGGGCUGUGCUGCACCUCGGACGGCUUCGCACCAGCCAGCGCCCUCUCUCUCCUGCAGCACUCUGAUCUGCACCCCCUGAGGGGCUUCCACUGUCCGCGGGGUGAGAAUGCCCCUGGGAGUGUCACAUGACUGCCGCCCCAUGUGUGUGAGAGGCGUCCUCUGGGAGAGCAUGGAUCCUGAGGUCCCAGGAUUGUCAGCUGACCUCUGUCCUGUGUGCCCAGUGGCCCCAGGUGACGUGUCUUCAAGAAGAGGCUGAGCUGCGGUGCUUGUAAGGGUCUCAUUCUGUCACCCAGGCUGGAGUGCAGUGGUGCAAUGAUGGCUCACUGCAGCCUCGACCUGGGCUCAAGUGAUCCUCCACCUCAGCUUCCUGAGUAGCUGGGACCACAGAGUCAUGUGCUGUUCCUGGGGCUUGGAUGAUGUAGGGGAAGCAAGGUGAAAGUGGUAUCCCGUGGUUCCACGUUCUGUCCUGCUGUGGGGCUGUCCCUCACAUGCUUUCAGUGGCUGUUGCAGAGGAAGAGCCUCCGGAAAUCUGCGUGGGUAAAGUGAGCUCCCCGGGGGAACCGUCCUCCUCCCUUGAGCGCUGGUGUGUCCAUAGUGUGCUGUGAUCUGGAUUAGCAGUGAGUUUUUCUUUCAGGGUGUGUGUGUAUGAUGUUAGGACCAUAUGCUCCUGACCUUUUCCAACCCAAAAGCGUUUCCAUUUUUUUAAUGCUGGAAGUGUCUUAACUCCUUUUGGGGUCUUAGAAGGACACACGGUGGCCGUGGCUGGGCCUCUGCUCAGCUGGGCUGCUCUCCCUGCCUCAGGCCCUUGACACCAGCCUCCCUCCCUUGCUGGCUCUCUUUCUGUCCUUCCCUGCUCUUGUAUCCAAAAGUGAUCAUGGGUUGCCUGUGUCCCGAUCAUUAACAGUGCAGGGGUAGGAGUGCUGAAAGACAUCUUCCCUGCGUUGGUCCAGCCUUCCCUUUCAAACCCUGGAGCUUUCCCACGCUGCAGCCUUUUUCCAACUAGGCUUUCAGAGCUUGGGCCUUUGUGGGCCCAUGUGAUGUGGUGACUAGACCCACCCCCUGACUUCUGAGGGUUCAUUUUGUCUUUUCAUGUUAGGGAUCCUCCUGCCAGAAACCAGUCUGCAUUUCUCUCUGGGCCCCACGCUGGAAUGAAUUCAGAUAGCAGUGAAGGGCACACGUGAGAACUGCGAAUCACGGGCUUUGCUUCAUGAAAUGUGAAAUCCACAUUGUUUCCACAGGCACCAUCAGUAAUGUCGAACAAAUGGAGAAAGUUGCAGGUGGGGCUAGGAAAGCUGUAUUCCUGUGGAUUACUCUAGCUGGUCAUUUGCCCCGAUUGUGAACUGCUUGAAAGAAAAACGAAACUUCUAAGAUGUUUGUCCUUUCAUGUCCUUUCUGUUGGGAUUUUUUAUUUGGUGUGCGUGAAUGAGGAGCUUCGCCCUGCUUGAAUGGGACCCCUCUCAGUGGUGUCAGCUUGGGGAGGAGGAGAUGGCCCUGGAGACUAAAUACUUGUAUGCUUUCUUACCCUCUUAGGUCUCAGCCUUAGAUCCAAGGACAGUCCAAGGAAGUCCUAAGACCAUGGAGUUGGUGAUCUGGGAUCUGGGUUUGC
This 1882-nucleotide long non-coding RNA is filed under the name Homo sapiens (human). Its description in RNAcentral is "HSALNT0266971". The stretch from base 1131 to 1258 matches the Rfam family "Small nucleolar RNA SNORA71". The record is from RNAcentral. Lineage: Eukaryota; Metazoa; Chordata; Mammalia; Primates; Hominidae.